Molecule: ribosomal RNA, 336 nt
Filed under: uncultured bacterium
Lineage: Bacteria
Description: bacterial SSU rRNA
Rfam family: Bacterial small subunit ribosomal RNA
Source: RNAcentral
GCCCGCUCAGUCAGAGUUUGAUCCUGGCUCAGGACGAACGCUGGCGGCGUGCUUAACACAUGCAAGUCGAACGGAAAGGCCCAGCUUGCUGGGUACUCGAGUGGCGAACGGGUGAGUAACACGUGGGUGAUCUGCCCUGCACUCUGGGAUAAGCCUGGGAAACUGGGUCUAAUACCGGAUAGGACCAUGGGAUGCAUGUCUUGUGGUGGAAAGCUUUUGCGGUGUGGGAUGGGCUCGCGGCCUAUCAGCUUGUUGGUGGGUAAUGCCUACCAAGGCGACGACGGGUAGCCGACCUGAGAGGGUGAUCGGCCACACUGGGACUGAGACACGACCCAG